This 497-nucleotide ribosomal RNA is filed under the name uncultured bacterium. RNAcentral's name for it is "partial 16S ribosomal RNA". It matches the Rfam family "Bacterial small subunit ribosomal RNA", at positions 29 to 523 of the family's 1533-position model. The record is from RNAcentral.
AGUGAACGCUGGCGGCGUGCCUAAUACAUGCAAGUCGAACGCGAAAGUCCUUCGGGAUGAGUAAAGUGGCGCACGGGUGAGUAAUGCAUGAGAACAUGCCCUUAGAUGGGGAAUAACGUUUGGAAACGAACGCUAAUACCGCAUAAUCUCGAGAGAGAAAAGGUGGCGCCGCAAGGGCUACCGUCUAAGGAUUGGCUCAUGUCCCAUUAGGUAGUUGGCGGGGUAAUGGCCCACCAAGGCAACGAUGGGUAUGUGGUCUGAGAGGAUGAUCACACACACUGGAACUGAGACACGGUCCAGACUCCUACGGGAGGCAGCAGUAGGGAAUAUUGCACAAUGGGGGAAACCCUGAUGCAGCAACGCCGCGUGAGUGAAGAAGGCCCUUGGGUCGUAAAGCCCUUUAGCGAGGGAAGAGGGUAGAUACGGUGAAUAAUCGUGUUUGCUGACGGUACCUCGAGAAUAAGCACCGGCUAAUUUCGUGCCAGCAGCCGCGGUAA